Molecule: ribosomal RNA, 406 nt
Filed under: uncultured bacterium
Lineage: Bacteria
Description: partial 16S ribosomal RNA
Rfam family: Bacterial small subunit ribosomal RNA
Source: RNAcentral
AUUGAACGCUGGCGGCAGGCCUAACACAUGCAAGUCGAGCGAGCGGCGGACGGGUGAGUAAUGUCUGGGAAACUGCCUGAUGGAGGGGGAUAACUACUGGAAACGGUAGCUAAUACCGCAUACCAUCAGAUGUGCCCAGAUGGGAUUAGCUAGUAGGUGGGGUAAUGGCUCACCUAGGCGACGAUCCCUAGCUGGUCUGAGAGGAUGACCAGCCCCACUGGAACUGAGACACGGUCCCGAAUCCCUCGGUGGGCAGCGAUGGGGAAUAUGGCACCAUGGGGGCAAGCCUGGUGCAGCCAUGCCGCGUUUAUGAAGAAGGCCUUCGGGUUGUAAAGUACUUUCAGCGAGGAGGCGUUACUCGCAGAAGAAGCACCGGCUAACUCCGUGCCAGCAGCCGCGGUAAUUC